Long non-coding RNA from Vidua macroura (Pin-tailed whydah), 236 nucleotides. RefSeq lists it as uncharacterized. Lineage: Eukaryota; Metazoa; Chordata; Aves; Passeriformes; Viduidae. The record is from RefSeq and is a predicted model, not a curated record. The transcript has 3 exons.
CAACAUUGUCCCAGUUUUCUAAAAGAGCAAGAAGAAUGACUCUGGAAACUACAGGCUUCUUAGCCUGGAUACUCACUUCAGUGCCUGCAGCCCGAUUUUCUGUUCUGCAAGAUUCCUUUAUGUGUUUGGACAUCCCUUUGUCAAAAAAGAUUUACAUUUCCCAGAAUGCCUGUUCAGUAUGGAUUUCAACUAGUGGCCUGAAUGUAACCAAAGAUGAGGAACAUACCUGGAAAAGU